RNAcentral lists this ribosomal RNA (289 nucleotides) under uncultured Actinospica sp. Its description in RNAcentral is "partial 16S ribosomal RNA". The record is from RNAcentral. Lineage: Bacteria; Bacillati; Actinomycetota; Actinomycetes; Catenulisporales; Actinospicaceae.
CUACUAGGGUAUCUAAUCCUGUUCGCUCCCCACGCUUUCGCUCCUCAGCGUCAGUAAUGGCCCAGAGACCCGCCUUCGCCACCGGUGUUCCUCCUGAUAUCUGCGCAUUCCACCGCUACACCAGGAAUUCCAGUCUCCCCUGCCAUACUCCAGCCUGCCCGUACCGGAAGCAGACCCACCGUUAAGCAGUGGGCUUUCACUUCCGACGCGACAGGCCGCCUACGAGCCCUUUACGCCCAAUAAAUCCGGACAACGCUCGCACCCUACGUAUUACCGCGGCUGCUGGCAC